Sorex fumeus (smoky shrew) is the source of this 107-nucleotide small nuclear RNA. NCBI's taxonomy places the organism in Eukaryota, Metazoa, Chordata, Mammalia, Eulipotyphla, Soricidae. The record is from RefSeq and is a predicted model, not a curated record.
GCUCUUGCUUCGGCAGUACAUAUGCUAAAAUUGGAACAAUGCAGAGAAAAUUAGCAUGGCCAUUGCCCAAGAAUGACACAGACAUUCGUGAAGCAUUCCAUAUUUUU